GACGAAGGAUGCAAGCGUUAUCCGGAUUCAUUGGGUUUAAAGGGAGCGUAGGUGGCCUUAUAAGUCAGUGGUGAAAUCUCUGGGCUUAACCCAGAAAUUGCCAUUGAUACUGUAGGGCUUGAGUAUAGUUGCCGUUGGCGGAAUACGACAUGUAGUGGUGAAAUACAUAGAGAUGUCAUAGAACACCGAUUGCGAAGGCAGCUGACGAAACUAUAACUGACACUGAGGCUCGAAAGUGCGGGGAUCAAACAGG
RNAcentral lists this ribosomal RNA (253 nucleotides) under uncultured bacterium. Its description in RNAcentral is "partial 16S ribosomal RNA". It matches the Rfam family "Bacterial small subunit ribosomal RNA", at positions 524 to 776 of the family's 1533-position model. The record is from RNAcentral.